This is a non-coding RNA of Paramuricea clavata, 703 nucleotides long. The record is from the annotation of a GenBank genome assembly. NCBI's taxonomy places the organism in Eukaryota, Metazoa, Cnidaria, Anthozoa, Malacalcyonacea, Plexauridae.
CAGAAACGUUGCGAGUUAUUUACGGAGAUGCAAGACCAACUGAAGUCAAAGAAAAAUUACAAAAGUGGUUACUACUACUGCCAGACAGUAUAACAGCCCAAAUAGAUGCAGCGUUGCGACAGGAACGGCCAUUCCUUCCACCAGACAUCACACCAGAGAUGAUGGCUGCAAAAAACAGUAUUGUACCUUCCAUGACUCAAAUGGAUAUCCUCUAUGUAAGAAACGAACUGAUAUUUCAUCUGCUUAUAGAAUGUUGUCGCUACGAUGCGUCACAAAUUUUGUAAAUAUAAACGAGUACACGAGGCUACCAAUUUGGGGCUGGUUGUACGAAAGCUGGAUAUAGCGCUGUCCACCAGGUUGUGAUUUUUAAAGCUUUUUAAAAUUGACCGUUAUUUUGUUUAAGCCAAAUUAAACGUUAGUAUCAGUACAUUAUCAAAGUUUCUUUCUGUUUAUUGCGAGUUAUAGUUUCACAGCUUUUCAGGCAUUUUUAGUGAAGUUGGGGAAAUCACUAUCCGGAUGGAUAGCGCUAUAUUCACGCUUUCGUAUACAACCGGGCUCUGAUUAUUUUGCAUCCGUAUCUCGUUGCUACUAAUGUCCGGCAAAAAUGUUUAGUUAACACAAUUUUUUCUUCCUGAAUAACUGAGUUUUAUACAUUUUUUCUAUGGUUAAUAAUAUAUCCACGCCGCGAUAUUUUACUGUUUAC